AAACAAUCCGCAGUCCAAAUGAUCAACAUAUUUGCCAGGAAGAUUAGCUGGAAGAGGGAUCGUCGAUCGUCCAAUACUCUUGUCUUUUCAUUAUGAGGAAGAUUUACACUUUCCUGAUCUUGAGCAUCGUAGCCGUGUCGUGCCUAGCACACCCGCAUCCGAACGCCGACCCUCAGUUCGGUGGCUUUGGCUUCGGCGGCAACUUUUACGGAGGAUUCAGACACAGAUAUCCCUACGGCUACGGUUAUGGGGGCUUCCCAUAUCGACGGCCUUUCUUCUUCAACAGAUACCCCGGUUUUCGACCUCCCCACGUUCACCUUCACAAUCAUUUCCCCUGACAUUGAGGUCAGCUGAGGUUACGGACGAUUCGAAAAGGAUUACAGUUUAUUUUUUUAGCGAUAUUUUCCUAUGGGUUUAAGACUCGACAACCUUCACUUAACUACUGAAUAACUUGGUUUUACUAAACGGACAUGGGAAGGUUUAUUUAAGGAAAGGCUUAUUAAACUGUUACUGCUCAAGAGGAGGGUUUAUCAAAUUACUUAAUGCUUAAAAAUGAAUGGUUUAUUAAACUGCUAAUUAAAGGAAAGGUUUAUGAAAGAAAUGGUUUAUUUAACUGUUAAUGCUUCAUGAAAGAUGUUUCAAACUGCAAAUACUUAAACAAAUGUCAAUGCUUAAGGAAAGGUUUAUCAAACUUUAAAUGCUUAAAAAAGUUUUUAAGGCUUAAACGAAAGGUAUAUCAACUGUAAAUGCUUAAAAAAUUAUUAAUGCCUAAAAGGAAAGAUUUAUCAAACUGUAAUUGCAUAAAAUUUAAGGUUUAUCAAACUGUAAAUGCUUAAAAGGAAAGGUUUACUAAAUUAAAGGUUUAUCUAACUGUAAAUGCUAAAAAGAGGCUAAUUUGGGAAUGUAAGGAACUGGAAAUUAAAGGCCUGAAAUACAAAUAAACAUCUUGACCCAG
This is a long non-coding RNA of Macrobrachium nipponense, 955 nucleotides long. RefSeq lists it as uncharacterized. The record is from RefSeq and is a predicted model, not a curated record. The transcript has 2 exons. Lineage: Eukaryota; Metazoa; Arthropoda; Malacostraca; Decapoda; Palaemonidae.